GACGAACGCUGGCGGCGUGCUUAACACAUGCAAGUCGAACGGAAAGGCGCCUUGCUGGGUACUCUGGUGGCGAACGGGGGAGUAACACGUGCGUAACCUUCACUUGCCUUCGGGAUAACGUCAGGAAACUGGGGCUAAUACCGGUAAGGAAUCCUUUCUUCAAGGGGAGGGUUGGAAAGCGUCGGCGGGUUUGGAUGUACUCGCUGGAUAUCAGCUUGUUGGUGUGGUAGUGGCUUACCAAGGCGUUGACGGGUAGCCGGCCUGAGGGGGCGACCGGCCACCUUGACACCGAGAGACGGCCGAGACUCCUAAGCGAGGCAGCAGUGGGGAAUAUUGCCGAAUGGGCGGAAGCCUGAUGAAGCAACGCCGCGUGCGGGAUGACGGCCUUCGGGUUGUAAACCGCUUUCAGAAGGGGCGAAGCUUGUGGUGACGGUACCUGAAGAAGAAGCACCGGCUAACUACGUG
RNAcentral lists this ribosomal RNA (465 nucleotides) under uncultured bacterium. Its description in RNAcentral is "partial 16S ribosomal RNA". It matches the Rfam family "Bacterial small subunit ribosomal RNA", at positions 28 to 507 of the family's 1533-position model. The record is from RNAcentral.